Molecule: long non-coding RNA, 837 nt
Organism: Acinonyx jubatus (cheetah)
Lineage: Eukaryota; Metazoa; Chordata; Mammalia; Carnivora; Felidae
Exons: 3
Source: RefSeq, a predicted model, not a curated record
CCGUCACGUGGCUGGCCCUUGGGGGCGCUACGGACCACGUGAUCUGGCUGGCCGGGAGGGGAGGGGAGGGGCGGGACUCGCUGCCCCUCCUGCCUUACACCCCGGCUUCGGGGAUCCGUUCUAGCCAGGACCACCCGGCCGGAAGCCGGGGAGCGGAAACCGGUAAAAGCCGCGCGGGCGCCCGGCCCUGACGACGGAACACAGGACGAUGUGGUAGCGCUUCUCUGGGUCCCUGGAUCUGGACAACAGGUCCAGGACAGGGUGAGCCCUGCUCGGCCCGAGUGCGUGGGUCUGAGUAGAGGAAGGGAGCACAGAAUCCCCAGGAUCUGGAGCUCCUUAGAGGCAAGGCCUGUGUCUUGCUCACCAUCGUCCCCACUGCUGAGCCAGGUACACUCAGGAAACCUUCAGAUUAAGCUUUCAGUCAUGUUCAACAAUUUGCUGUAUUCUGUGGAAAAAGAAAACUGCUUCAGGACUUGCACCGGGGUGUUCUCUUGACUGAAAUAUAUUAAAAUGCGGUAACGGCAGCUCACUUUAAUCAAGUGUGCCAAAGACUAAACAUAAAUAAACUUCCACGGGGGAGGAGAAGGCACACCUGUCCUCACAACUCUCCUUCCGUGCAGCCUCGAAACUGAUUUAGCGAUAUUCCCAUUCCCAGAAGCAACAUCGCUCCUCUAACUCAAUUAAGUAACACGCUUUUUCCAGAAGGGUUAAUGUUGAAAACAGGAGAGUAAGCUAGCAACAGUCCUUGAUAGGUUAAACCAGUGUUUCCGAAGGGGGGCCUGUGGCAGAAUCUGCUGGGGUGCCUGUCCCAAAUGCCCGAGCUGCCACGAGGUGGUC